This 1088-nucleotide long non-coding RNA is filed under the name Phoenix dactylifera (date palm). RNAcentral's name for it is "long non-coding RNA (PDAC_LNC007006)". The record is from RNAcentral. Lineage: Eukaryota; Viridiplantae; Streptophyta; Magnoliopsida; Arecales; Arecaceae.
GUCUAUUUUUCAAAGGAAAAGCAUCUUUUGCAAAAAUCAAUAGUGCAUUCAAGAGAAAGCAAGUCCAAGUGUUCUUCAUCAAGUUGCUUAAUUCAAAUUCCAAAAGAAGGUGGUUGAGCAUUCUUCAAGUGCAUUCAAGAGCUCUACCAACCCCUUGAGAAGUGAAGUAACAUUAGAAAAGAAGAGAAGAGCAUCUUCAAAGCAGUAAUUAUUUCUUAUCUCUUGUUUUAGUGCAUACUUGUUAUAUUUGNNNNNNNNNNNNNNNNNNNNCAAGUUGCUUAAUUCAAAUUCCAAAAGAAGGUGGUUGAGCAUUCUUCAAGUGCAUUCAAGAGCUCUACCAACCCCCUUGAGAAGUGAAGUAACAUUAGAAAAGAAGAGAAGAGCAUCUUCAAAGCAGUAAUUAUUUCUUAUCUCUUGUUUUAGUGCAUACUUGUUAUAUUUGCUCAUUUAGGAGCUACAAACUCUUUUCUUUCAAUUCCUUGUAAGGUUUGUUGGUGAGCCCGUAAAACCAACCGUGUAGGUCGUUGGUGAGCCCGCAAAACCAACAUAGGUUAUUGGUGAUCCCGGAAAACCAAAUUAUAAAGGUUUUUGGAUUGUGAGCCCGGAAAACAAUCCAACUGUAAUCCGUGGGAUUAUAGUGAAUUCCCAAGGGGAUGCUUGGGGAGUGGACGUACGUGCUUAGGAGAGCACCGAACCACUAUACUUCUUGUGUGUUUGCAUUGUGUGAUUUUUAAUUCCACUGCACAUAUAUAAUUAACACAAGCUAAACUACUCAUACAUCUAUCAACUUAAUUAAGGCCUUAAAGAUUUAGAAAACCCAGUUCACCCCUCCCUUUCGGGUUGUCACGGGGCAACAGUUCUUGUUACAAGACGAAGGCUUCUGCUCAUUUUCCAGUUGUGCAAUUAGUGUGACUAUGUAUCUGCUUUUUCCCUUGUCCUCUUUCCUUCUGUUAUCAGUUCCAAAGUGUGCACCUUUCAUUCAAUCUGAUCUUUGAGUUUAGUUCCUUCUGGGCUGCCAAUGCUUCAUAUUUUCUCAAUUUCCUCAUAAGUAACUCCAAGCAAUUGUUUCCUACUUUACUCAAAAAUAA